CACCGCGGUUACACGAAAGGCCCAAGUUGAUAGACAUCGGCGUAAAGGGUGGUUAAUAGCACACACACUAAAGUCGAACACCUUCAAAGCCGUGAUACGCUUCCGAAGGCUGGAAGCCCCUCCACGAAAGUGACUUUAAUAGCUAUGACCCCACGAAAGCUAGGGCA
This 167-nucleotide ribosomal RNA is filed under the name Paragobiodon modestus (warthead goby). RNAcentral's name for it is "partial 12S rRNA". Lineage: Eukaryota; Metazoa; Chordata; Actinopteri; Gobiiformes; Gobiidae. The record is from RNAcentral.